This 375-nucleotide long non-coding RNA is filed under the name Pan troglodytes (chimpanzee). RNAcentral describes it as "long non-coding RNA NONPTRT005117". The record is from RNAcentral. Lineage: Eukaryota; Metazoa; Chordata; Mammalia; Primates; Hominidae.
GAAGAAGUCGCGGGAGGGUAGGGGACCGCGGAACUUCUGGUUGCUAUGACGACGGCAAAGCCCUGGAUUCCUGUCUCCUGCGCAGAGCAGAGGCUGCAAACGCAUCCGCAGACGCCUUUAUACGUACUCCAAAAUGCUAGUAAGGAUGAAGAUGAACUCUCCUCAGCCCGUGUCUUUUAACUGUAGAAACUUUUCUGAGAAAUGAAAAGAGGCUUGCUCAUGACUUGGAAGCGGUGGGCUGAGGCCUCCCAAGACCAUCUGGCUUGUUCCAUUGCCAGCCAGAGUGGAGGCGACAUUCACACGAACCCAGGAGCUGCAGGGGCGCGUGAGCUACAGCUGCCUUGUGGCAUCCAAGGAGUGCGCAGUGAGAUUCCG